CCUACGGGUGACAGCAGUGAGGAAUCUUGGACAAUGGGCGCGAGCCUGAUCCAGCCAAGCAGCGUGAAGGAUGACUGCCCUACGGGUUGUAAACUUCUUUUAUAAAGGGAUAAAGUGAGGCACGUGUGCCUUUUUGUAUGUACUUUAUGAAUAAGGAUCGGCUAACCCCGUGCCAGUAGCCGCGGUAAUACGGAGGAGCCGAGCGUUAUCCGGAUUGAUUGGGUUAAAAGGGAGCGUAGAUGGGUUGUUAAGUCAGUUGUGAAAGUAUGCGGCUCAACAGUAAAAUUGCAAUUGAUACUGGCAGCCUUGAGUACAGUUGAGGUAGGCGGAAUUCGUGGUGUAGCAGUGAAAUGCGUAGAUAUCACGAAGAACUCCGAUUGCGAAGGCAGCUUACUAAACUGCCACUGACAUUGAUGCUCGAAAGCGUGGGGAUCAAACAGGAUUAGAUACCCUUGUAGUC
This 460-nucleotide ribosomal RNA is filed under the name uncultured bacterium. RNAcentral describes it as "partial 16S ribosomal RNA". It matches the Rfam family "Bacterial small subunit ribosomal RNA", at positions 338 to 795 of the family's 1533-position model. The record is from RNAcentral.